AGAACAUAUGUCUUACCCACAGCAAGCACUUAAAAGAUAAAUGUUGAAUGAGGGAGAGUACAUGUGAACAACUGUGGAUGCCAGAUGAGAAAACUGAAGUCAGUGACUUGCACAUGGCACACAGCCAUUAAGCAUCCAAGGUGAAUGAGUAUCAGAGAUGGAACAACCGCACGAGCUUCAAUGAGUCAAAAGAAACACUAGAGGCUCAGCAGUGCCAGGCAUCCAUAGCAGAGGCUGCUAGCUGCUGCAGCUAGUGAGUCUGGCCAGUGAGCCAAAACAGCCCUGAUGACGAGGAAUGUGAUUGAUCCAGUCCAGCCACACUUGCUGUGUUCUUGCUGAGAAGUGAACUUGGUGGAAGGAAGUUUUUCUAACUACCACUUUAUGAAGGCAGCUAGGUGGUACAGUGAAUAAAGCACUGGCCCUGGAUUCGGGAGGAUCUGAGUUCAAAUCUGGAUUCAAACACUUACUAGCUGUGCGACCCUGAGCAAGUCACUUAACCUUCAUUGCCCCGCAAAAAAAAAUAGCUAGUACCCAUUCUAACUACCACUUUAUGCUUCAAUCCAUAGUACAACUUGUU
Molecule: long non-coding RNA, 577 nt
Organism: Dromiciops gliroides (monito del monte)
Lineage: Eukaryota; Metazoa; Chordata; Mammalia; Microbiotheria; Microbiotheriidae
Exons: 3
Source: RefSeq, a predicted model, not a curated record